GUCCGCUUCCCUGCUUGCAUCCGCGUGGAUGGGCUGCGACCUUAGAGGUGGGGGAGGCUAAAAUUCAAAGAGGC
Molecule: non-coding RNA, 74 nt
Filed under: Fibrobacter sp.
Lineage: Bacteria; Pseudomonadati; Fibrobacterota; Fibrobacteria; Fibrobacterales; Fibrobacteraceae
Description: PRA sequence
Rfam family: Fibro-purF RNA
Source: RNAcentral